Molecule: ribosomal RNA, 490 nt
Filed under: uncultured bacterium
Lineage: Bacteria
Description: partial 16S ribosomal RNA
Rfam family: Bacterial small subunit ribosomal RNA
Source: RNAcentral
GUGAACGCUGGCGGUAGGCCUAACACCUGCAAGUCGAACGGCAGCACAGUAAGAGCUUGCUCUUACGGGUGGCGAGUGGCGGACGGGUGAGGAAUACAUCGGAAUCUACUUUUUCGUGGGGGAUAACGUAGGGAAACUUACGCUAAUACCGCAUACGACCUACGGGUGAAAGCAGGGGAUCUUCGGACCUUGCGCGAUUGAAUGAGCCGAUGUCGGAUUAGCUAGUUGGCGGGGUAAAGGCCCACCAAGGCGACGAUCCGUAGCUGGUCUGAGAGGAUGAUCAGCCACACUGGAACUGAGACACGAUCCAGACUCCUACGGGAGGCAGCAGUGGGGAAUAUUGGACAAUGGGCGCAAGCCUGAUCCAGCCAUACCGCGUGGGUGAAGAAGGCCUUCGGGUUGUAAAGCCCUUUUGUUGGGAAAGAAAAGCAGCAGGUUAAUACCCCGCUGUUCUGACGGUACCCAAAGAAUAAGCACCGGCUAACUUCGU